This 484-nucleotide ribosomal RNA is filed under the name uncultured bacterium. RNAcentral's name for it is "partial 16S ribosomal RNA". It matches the Rfam family "Bacterial small subunit ribosomal RNA", at positions 30 to 507 of the family's 1533-position model. The record is from RNAcentral.
AUUGAACGCUGGCGGCAGGCCUAACACAUGCAAGUCGAGCGGAUGAAGGGAGCUUGCUCCUGGAUUCAGCGGCGGACGGGUGAGUAAUGCCUAGGAAUCGGCCUGGUAGUGGGGGAUAACGUCCGGAAACGGGCGCUAAUACCGCAUACGUCCUGAGGGAGAAAGUGGGGGAUCUUCGGACCUCACGCUAUCAGAUGAGCCUAGGUCGGAUUAGCUAGUUGGUGGGGUAAAGGCCUACCAAGGCGACGAUCCGUAACUGGUCUGAGAGGAUGAUCAGUCACACUGGAACUGAGACACGGUCCAGAUUCCUACGGGAGGCAGCAGUGGGGAAUAUUGGACAAUGGGCGAAAGCCUGAUCCAGCCAUGCCGCGUGUGUGAAGAAGGUCUUCGGAUUGUAGAGCACUUUAAGUUGGGAGGAAGAGCAGUAAGUUAAUACCUUGCUGUUUUGACGUUACCAACAGAAUAAGCACCGGCUAACUUCGUG